This 468-nucleotide ribosomal RNA is filed under the name uncultured bacterium. RNAcentral describes it as "partial 16S ribosomal RNA". It matches the Rfam family "Bacterial small subunit ribosomal RNA", at positions 28 to 507 of the family's 1533-position model. The record is from RNAcentral.
GACGAACGCUGGCGGCGUGCUUAACACAUGCAAGUCGAACGGAAAGGCCCUGCUUUUGUGGGGUGCUCGAGUGGCGAACGGGUGAGUAACACGUGAGUAACCUGCCCUUUACUUUGGGAUAACUUCAGGAAACUGGGGCUAAUACCGGAUAGGAGCUCCUGCUGCAUGGUGGGGGUUGGAAAGUUUCGGCGGUUGGGGAUGGACUCGCGGCUUAUCAGCUUGUUGGUGGGGUAGUGGCUUACCAAGGCUUUGACGGGUAGCCGGCCUGCGAGGGUGACCGGCCACAUUGGGACUGAGAGACGGCCCAGACUCCUACGGGAGGCAGCAGUGGGGAAUAUUGCACAAUGGGCGGAAGCCUGAUGCAGAAACGCCGCGUGCGGGAUGACGGCCUUCGGGUUGUAAACCGCUUUCGCAUGUGACGAAGAGUGAGUGACGGUAAUGGGUAAAGAAGCACCGGCUAACUACGUG